This 429-nucleotide ribosomal RNA is filed under the name uncultured Pseudoruegeria sp. Its description in RNAcentral is "bacterial SSU rRNA". It matches the Rfam family "Bacterial small subunit ribosomal RNA", at positions 29 to 505 of the family's 1533-position model. Lineage: Bacteria; Pseudomonadati; Pseudomonadota; Alphaproteobacteria; Rhodobacterales; Roseobacteraceae. The record is from RNAcentral.
AACGAACGCUGGCGGCAGGCCUAACACAUGCAAGUCGAGCGCACCUUCGGGUGAGCGGCGGACGGGUGAGUAACGCGUGGGAAUAUGCCUCUUGGUAAGGAAUAGCCUCUGGAAACGGAGAGUAAUACCUUAUGUGCCCUACGGGGGAAAGAUUUAUCGCCAAGAGAUUAGCCCGCGUUAGAUUAGGUAGUUGGUGGGGUAAUGGCCUACCAAGCCUACGAUCUAUAGCUGGUUUGAGAGGAUGAUCAGCCACACUGGGACUGAGACACGGCCCAGACUCCUACGGGAGGCAGCAGUGGGGAAUCUUAGACAAUGGGGGAAACCCUGAUCUAGCCAUGCCGCGUGAGUGACGAAGGCCCUAGGGUCGUAAAGCUCUUUCGCCAGGGAUGAUAAUGACAGUACCUGGUAAAGAAACCCCGGCUAACUCCG